CUUCAACGGAGAGUUUGAUCCUGGCUCAGGAUGAACGCUGGCGGCGUGCUUAACACAUGCAAGUCGAACGAUGACCCGGUGCUUGCACCGGUGAUUAGUGGCGAACGGGUGAGUAACACGUGAGUAACCUGCCCUUAACUCUGGGAUAAGCCUGGGAAAC
This 160-nucleotide ribosomal RNA is filed under the name Arthrobacter sp. ok362. RNAcentral's name for it is "16S rRNA. Bacterial SSU". It matches the Rfam family "Bacterial small subunit ribosomal RNA", at positions 1 to 157 of the family's 1533-position model. Lineage: Bacteria; Bacillati; Actinomycetota; Actinomycetes; Micrococcales; Micrococcaceae. The record is from RNAcentral.